Molecule: ribosomal RNA, 514 nt
Filed under: Bacillus pumilus
Lineage: Bacteria; Bacillati; Bacillota; Bacilli; Caryophanales; Bacillaceae
Description: bacterial SSU rRNA
Rfam family: Bacterial small subunit ribosomal RNA
Source: RNAcentral
AUUGGACGAAAGUCUGACGGAGCAACGCCGCGUGAGUGAUGAAGGUUUUCGGAUCGUAAAGCUCUGUUGUUAGGGAAGAACAAGUGCAAGAGUAACUGCUUGCACCUUGACGGUACCUAACCAGAAAGCCACGGCUAACUACGUGCCAGCAGCCGCGGUAAUACGUAGGUGGCAAGCGUUGUCCGGAAUUAUUGGGCGUAAAGGGCUCGCAGGCGGUUUCUUAAGUCUGUAUGUGAAAGCCCCCGGCUCAACCGGGGAGGGUCAUUGGAAACUGGGAAACUUGAGUGCAGAAGAGGAGAGUGGAAUUCCACGUGUAGCGGUGAAAUGCGUAGAGAUGUGGAGGAACACCAGUGGCGAAGGCGACUCUCUGGUCUGUAACUGACGCUGAGGAGCGAAAGCGUGGGGAGCGAACAGGAUUAGAUACCUGGUAGUCCACGCCCGUAAACGAUGAGUGCUAAGUGUUAGGGGUUUCCGCCCCUUAGUGCUGCAGCUAACGCAUUAACACUCCGCCUGG